Molecule: ribosomal RNA, 253 nt
Filed under: uncultured bacterium
Lineage: Bacteria
Description: partial 16S ribosomal RNA
Rfam family: Bacterial small subunit ribosomal RNA
Source: RNAcentral
UACGAAGGGGGCUAGCGUUGCUCGGAAUUACUGGGCGUAAAGGGCGCGUAGGCGGUGCGGCAAGUCACCUGUGAAACCUCUGGGCUUAACCCAGAGCCUGCAGGCGAAACUGCCGUGCUGGAGUGUGGGAGAGGUGCGUGGAAUUCCCGGUGUAGUGGUGGAAUGCGUAGAUAUCGGGAGGAACACCAGUGGCGAAGGCGGUUACCUGGAGCUUUGCUGACGCUGAUGCGCGAAAGCGUGGGGAGCGAUCCGG